RNAcentral lists this ribosomal RNA (394 nucleotides) under uncultured eukaryote. Its description in RNAcentral is "SSU rRNA". It matches the Rfam family "Eukaryotic small subunit ribosomal RNA", at positions 587 to 972 of the family's 1831-position model. The record is from RNAcentral.
AGCUCCAAUGGCGUAUAUUAAAGUUGUUGCGGUUAAAAAGCUCGUAGUUGGAAUUCUGCUGAGGAAGACCGGUCCGCCCUCCGGGUGAGUAUCUGGUUCAUCCUUGGUAUCUUCUUGGAGAAUGUAGUUGCACUUGGCUGUGUGGUGCGGUAUCCAAGACUUGUACUUUGAGGAAAUUAGAGUGUUUCAAGCAGGCUGAUGCCUUGUAUACGCGAGCAUGGCAUACUAGAAUAAGACCUUUGUUCUAUUUUGUUGGUUUCUAGAGCUGAGGUGAUGGUUAAUAGGGAUAGUUGGGGUGUAUAGUUGGGGGUGUUCGUACUUGAUUGUCAGAGGUGAAAUUCUUGGAUUUGUUAAUGACGGACAACUGCGAAAGCAUUCGCCAAGGAUGUUCUCA